Microcebus murinus (gray mouse lemur) is the source of this 2363-nucleotide non-coding RNA. Lineage: Eukaryota; Metazoa; Chordata; Mammalia; Primates; Cheirogaleidae. The record is from RefSeq and is a predicted model, not a curated record.
UAAGCGUUAGUAUUUUAUUAUUAUAUUAUUAUUAUUGCCUGGGAGUUAGAGCCCUCAGCUGGACUAACAGUUAGGUACAGAAGUCUGCAGGGCCUUGGUGGAGGACGUCUCUGAAGAAGAAUUCUGGAAGGAACCAUGGAGGAUAUGCAGCCUUAAUGCUAACGAUGGGAAAUUCUGCAUUAAAAAAAUGACUUGUAAAGUAAAUAGAUUGAAUGGAUUGGGCAUCUGCUGUGAACAGCCAGACAUGUUCUGUCUCACUGCGAGUUGGCCUGGAAGAUGCAGAUCCCCCUGGGAAAUGGGGCUCUGUGUAGGGGAAGGGCUACAGCCCUCCCAGGGGGAUUUCAUCCUCUAUUUCCAGCAGCCAUGGUUCCAGGACUUUCCUGGACCACAAAGGGUGACUCAAAACUUUUCCUUGUUCACACUGUAAUAAUUCUGCUGUGACAAUAUGGUUAUCCUCUUAGCUACGCCAGUGGUAUGGGCAACACCCAAUCCCUUCUCUUUGCCCAUGAUUGCCGCUCGACCCCUGAGCAGGUCACAGACCUCUCCAUAUCCAGGGCAGAGCAAACAGAAGUACAGAAGAAGGCGAUUCCAAGGUGGGAUUCCCAGUGGACUGAUGAGCCCAGAUUUUCUUUCUUGCUUGCUGCUCUGUCCUCUUCAGGGUAUCAGUGACGUGUGUUUCUUCAUAGUUACAAGAUGGCGUCUGCAGUGGCAAAACCCAACUAUGUCUAAAAGUAGGAAGGAUGAGAGAGAGAGAGACCGUUUGCUCAUUCAUUCUCUCUUUACCCCUGGAAACACUCCCCUUCAGUCCCACUGGAGGGGCGUGGGUCACAUAUCUGCACACGGACUCAAGGAGGAUGGUCUUCAGUCACGUGGUUUCGAUACUUGGAACACUAUGCAACACUCAGCCCUCCAAGGUGAGACAGAGCACCCCCUUUCAACAUGUAAGAUGAACUCCUUAGUUCUGGGCAACAUUAGCCUGUGGAUUUUACAUCUUGCCAAUUCUCUAAUACUUUAUUCUUAAUCCACAGCCCUGUGGGCUUUUAUAAAUAGCUUCGAUAAUUCCAAAAGGCCAUCCACUUUUUCUUAACCGAAGUUGCAAAUUGGUAUCAGUCCAUGUUUGUGUAUUUCCAACCAUUAUUCCUACCCAAAGUUGUUUAUGGGUGAUGAGAUUUGGUCCAGUUUAGUGUCCAACGAGAUUAUCCAUAAUGACUUUUGAAAUCAUCUGUUUUUUGACUGUUUAUCUCCUGGAAACUUUACAGCACACUAUUGAAGCCAUUCCAGCCAAAGCCUGUUUUUCCUCCCAUUAGGUCAUUAAAGACAGCACCAAACCAAGUAUAAGAAGAAACUUUUUCCAUCCAGAAAAAAAACAAAGAUGCUCCUAUUUGGUUUUCUGGGUUUCUCAUGCUCACAUUUUCUGAUUAAGAAAAUUUAGACAGUGUCAGGGUUAUACAGAAUACAUAAUCUAUUCAGAAAUCUGCCCAACAAUGUCUAUUCUGAGGGGGGAGGGGAUACAAAGUAUAUGCAUUGAAUUAUCAGAUUCAACCUCACAGGUGUCAUCUACAGGUAGAUGCGGUAGUCUACAGGUACCACCCAACCAGCCAAUGUUUGUUGAGCAUCUGUAACAUGCCACAUUAGGUGCUCUGAGGAUUCCAAAGAUGACAACGGUAAAGAUCCUAGACAUACACAUGCGACUAAGGCAAAGCAAUAUAUGAUAAAGACCAAUAAAAGUAAAAUUCGAGUUCCAUACUAAACGUAUACAAAACUAAACAUGGAUGAGUCCCUCAGACACUGCGACCUGAGCAUUUAGAAAACAUGCGCGCUACACCCAUGUGCACAGCAGCAUCAUUCACAGUUGCCAAAAGGUGGAAGCAGCCCUAGUGUCCAUGGAUGGAUGAAGGGAUAAACAAAAUGUGCUACCGCCAUACAACGGAAUAUUACGCGGCAUCACAAAGGACACGUGCUACCAAAUGGGUGUUUGUUGAGAACAUUCCAAGUGAAUAUGCUAAGUGAAAUGUGUCAGCGACCAAAGGACAAAUACUUUAUGAUUCCACUCAUAUGAGGUUCCUAAGGAAGUCAAAUUUAUAGAGCCAGAAAGCAGAAUGGUGGCUGGUUAUCAGGGCCUGGGGAAAGGGGAGGAAGGGAAGCCAUUGUUUAAUGGGUACAGAGUUUCCGAUCUGCGAGAUGAAAAAGGUUCUGGAGGUGGAUGGUGGUGACAGUGGCAUGAUAAUAUGAAUGUACUCAAUGCCACCAGACUGUACACUCAAAAAGAGUGAAAAUGGUAAAUUUUAUCUUAUGUAUAUUGUAUGAUCACUUAAAAGACAUGCGCAGAGAAAUUGAAAUUCUGUAUUUUUAACACAAAUGCA